AAUAUUGGACAAUGGGCGAAAGCCUGAUCCAGCCAUGCCGCGUGUGUGCAGAAGGUCANAGGAUUNUNAAGUACUUUAAGUUGGGNGGGAGGGCUUUAGGUUAAUACACUGACGUUUUCACGUUACCAACAGAAUAAGCACCGGCUAACUUCGUCACAGCAGCCGCGGUAAUACGAAUGGUGCCAGCGUUAAGCGGAAUUACUGAGCGUAAAGCGCGCGUAGGUGGUUUGUUAAUUUGGUAGUGAAAGCCCCGGGCUCAACCUGGGAACUGCUUUCAAAACUGACAGGCUAGAGUACGGCAGAGGGUGGUGGAAUUUCCUGUGUAGCGGUGAAAUGCGUAGAUAUAGGAAGGAACACCAGUGGCGAAGGCGACCACCUGGGCUAAUACUGACACUGAGGUGCGAAAGCGUGGGGAGCAAAC
Molecule: ribosomal RNA, 421 nt
Filed under: uncultured bacterium
Lineage: Bacteria
Description: partial 16S ribosomal RNA
Rfam family: Bacterial small subunit ribosomal RNA
Source: RNAcentral